RNAcentral lists this ribosomal RNA (773 nucleotides) under uncultured Neocallimastigales. Its description in RNAcentral is "partial large subunit ribosomal RNA". It matches the Rfam family "Eukaryotic large subunit ribosomal RNA", at positions 18 to 615 of the family's 3401-position model. Lineage: Eukaryota; Fungi; Neocallimastigomycota; Neocallimastigomycetes; Neocallimastigales. The record is from RNAcentral.
UCAGACGAUGCGUCAUGCAUAUCAAUAAGCGGAGGAAAAGAAACUAACAAGGAUUCCCCUAGUAACGGCGAGUGAAGCGGGAAGAGCUCAAAUUUGAAAUCUUAAAGGGUUUCCCUUUACGAAUUGUAGUUUAAAGAAGUGUUUUCUGUUGAGGUUUUGGUAAAAGUUCUUUGGAAUAGGACAUCAUAGAGGGUGAGAAUCCCGUAUUUGACCUUUACUUUCAACUUUGUGAUACACUUUCAAAGAGUCGGAUUGUUUGGGAAUGCAGUCCAAAAUGGGUGGUAAAUUUCAUCUAAAGCUAAGUAUUGGCGAGAGACCGAUAGCGAACAAGUACCGUGAGGGAAAGAUGAAAAGAACUUUGAAAAGAGAGUUAAACAGUACGUGAAAUUGUCAAAAGGGAAGCGUUUGACACCAGUGUUGUUUUUCUGAAAAUCAAUUAAAGAACUGUUUAUGCUAAGUUGUUUAGACUUUAUCAGCUAACUGUUUAGUUUUGAGCUUUUCUUUAAUGCACUUUUCAGUUAACAAGUCAACAUCAAUUUCUUUUGCUGUAAAAAAGCUUGAGGAAGGUGGCUUGAGAUUCGUCUUAAGUGUUUAUAGCCUCUUGCCUAUGCAGUCGGAGAGAUUGAGGUCUGCAGCGUAGAUCCUUCGGGGCUAAAUGCAUUUGUGCUAAGUUAUAGCAUUUUAUAGACAACUUGUUGACUAUGAUUUGUCUUGUAGCUUACUCGCUUAUGUUAUUUUACCUACGCUUAGGAUGUUGAGCGCAUGUCUCCUCU